Papiliotrema laurentii is the source of this 74-nucleotide non-coding RNA. The record is from the annotation of a GenBank genome assembly. NCBI's taxonomy places the organism in Eukaryota, Fungi, Basidiomycota, Tremellomycetes, Tremellales, Rhynchogastremaceae.
GAACGUAUAGCUCAGUUGGUUAGAGUAUCCGCUUCACACGCGGGGGGUCGACGGUUCGAGCCCGUCUUCGUUCA